UACGGAGGAUCCAAGCGUUAUCCGGAAUCAUUGGGUUUAAAGGGUCCGUAGGCGGUUUGGUAAGUCAGUGGUGAAAGCCCAUCGCUCAACGGUGGAACGGCCAUUGAUACUGCCAGACUUGAAUUAUUAGGAAGUAACUAGAAUAUGUAGUGUAGCGGUGAAAUGCUUAGAGAUUACAUGGAAUACCAAUUGCGAAGGCA
RNAcentral lists this ribosomal RNA (200 nucleotides) under uncultured bacterium. RNAcentral's name for it is "partial 16S ribosomal RNA". It matches the Rfam family "Bacterial small subunit ribosomal RNA", at positions 524 to 723 of the family's 1533-position model. The record is from RNAcentral.